ACAGCAGCCGCCACGGUAAUACGUAGGUGGCAAGCGUUGUCCGGAAUUAUUGGGCGUAAAGGGCUCGCAGGCGGUUUCUUAAGUCUGAUGUGAAAGCCCCCGGCUCAACCGGGGAGGGUCACUGGAAACUGGGAAACUUGAGUGCAGAAGAGGAGAGUGGAAUUCCACGUGUAGCGGUGAAAUGCGUAGAGAUGUGGAGGAACACCAGUGGCGAAGGCGACUCUCUGGUCUGUAACUGACGCUGAGGAGCGAAAGCGUGGGGAGCGAACAGGAUUAGAUACCCGCGUAGUCCCUGUCUCUUAUAC
This 305-nucleotide ribosomal RNA is filed under the name uncultured bacterium. RNAcentral's name for it is "partial 16S ribosomal RNA". It matches the Rfam family "Bacterial small subunit ribosomal RNA", at positions 508 to 807 of the family's 1533-position model. The record is from RNAcentral.